Molecule: long non-coding RNA, 552 nt
Organism: Sarcophilus harrisii (Tasmanian devil)
Lineage: Eukaryota; Metazoa; Chordata; Mammalia; Dasyuromorphia; Dasyuridae
Exons: 5
Source: RefSeq, a predicted model, not a curated record
CACGGGAAGCGCGAGUCUUUUUGGUUUCCGGCCCUUCACCGGUGAGGACGGCGUGGAUAUGGUCGCUUCUUCUUGGCCUGCUGCGAUGCGGAGGCCCAGGCGGCGGCUCAUGGCAUUGCGUUUGCUUUGGGAAAAGGGGAGGCCGCGUGGAUGGCAGAAGGGAUUGGACGGGAAACAGAAAUGGAAGAACAGAAAAGCCGUUUUCUCUUAAGUGAUGGCGACGCGAUCGAGUCCGUGCGAGGAUGGGUGCUGUUUUUGGACCCUAAAAAAAAAAAAAGCAAAUGAGAGACUUCUGGAAAUGUUAAAGAAUACAAAUCUUCCAACUUCUGUAUUCAAAGACAGGUAAAUAUGAAGCUUGGUGCUCUGCAGAUUAUCAAAAAGGCCUUAGUGGAUUUAUGUGGUACACUGGACAUGGUUAUGAUCUGUUUUUGCCUUAAGGUAUUAUCUACUAUUGAAGCUGGGUCUGGCCAACUUUACUAUAUUUUUAUAUUUUUUGCUUGUCCACUAUAUGUAUAUGUACUUGAAAAAAUAAAAUUACUUGAAAACCUGUUU